Long non-coding RNA from Oncorhynchus gorbuscha (pink salmon), 1786 nucleotides. RefSeq lists it as uncharacterized. Lineage: Eukaryota; Metazoa; Chordata; Actinopteri; Salmoniformes; Salmonidae. The record is from RefSeq and is a predicted model, not a curated record. The transcript has 3 exons.
UCCUUAAAUAGUAUGGUCUCAGCCAAUAUUAAAUAUUGUAUCCAGACAGUGAAGAAAAUAUUCAGAUCGAUAAAAAGCAGUUUCAUUUUCCAAAACAUUUAACAUCUAAAGUUGCCAUAUAUUCAACCACAAGGAGGUACUAAUGAGCUAUGCGAUAUAUAUAUUUUAAUCAUAAUAGAGGACUACUGAAAUUGUAUUAUUUCGGUGUAGAUAAGGAAAGGGCAGGUUAAAAAACAUGAAUGCAGUGGAAAUUAACUGACUAAGCAUUUGGAUUGCUGCUGCUGUAUCUGCCUGCUCAGUACUGUACAGAGCCAAUCUGUCAUGGUCACCUCUCCUCAACCCCAGUUGUAGCACUGUUCUAGUGCCCUCUCCUGGACGACAGGCUCUCUUUCAGAGUAACUUGAUAAAGCCCACAUGUCCUCCACCCACUCUGAGAUCUGACCCCUCUCUCUCCAACUAGCUGACUAGCUGUCUGAUGGAGAACAGUGAAAUCUAGACACUCACAAACACACCUCUUACCAAUCAAUCGAUGACGAAUGUUCCUCUUGUGGUUCAGGGAAAUGCCAAAGAUGGACUCGAUGCUCAUUCAGCCAUCCUUUCAAUGUUGUUUUUCAACUUUGAUUAUUUGAACUGCUGCCAUUUUGUAUGUGGACUAUUGUUGCUCUUCUGUUACUUUGCUGUUCCUAUGUUGGUCUAGAAAUCUUGUUCCUGUGGGUUAUAGAAUGGAUGGGCAAUCUAUAAUAUGUACAAACAUUUUUAAAGGUGCAAUUCAAAUAUCUCUACCCCCAUAAUGACAUGACCAAGUACCAACACAUUCAACCUGACACAAUCACAAAAACAUAGAUUGUAUGUUGGUUUUACACUCAAAAUAAUGCUCCACUAAGCUAGAUUCCAUCAGUUCUGCCUUAACCCUUGAUAACCUGACAACAUUGUUUUUAUUAAGGCGAUGUCGGAGGUGUAACUGCAUUGGAGCUGUCAAAUCGCCUCCCGGAAUUAUAGCUAUUACGGACAUUGCCAUUGGAUGUGCAGAGACACAGUAGUAGUAAUCGCAUGCAGCCUUGUUACAAGCCGUCAAAUCGGUGAGCAGCUGCUCUUGUGAUCAUUGUCAAAAAGCCACACCUGCCCAUCUCGCAUUAAAAGUUCAGAACAAGAAAGUGUAGGCUAUAUAGAAACAAUUACUCUCAAUUUGAAAAAUCAAUAACGAAAUCAUGAGGAUUUCUAUCAUCUUAAUCGAGGUGUAGAUUACGUCUCAAAUUCCAGUGAUUGAACUUGUCAACAAGGCUGCAUGGGGAUGUCUCUUAACUCUCCACUCCAUGCCGCCAAUGGCAAUGUCCGCUUUAGGUACAAUUUGAUAUUGAGAUAAAAAUGGCUGCAUUGGACCUUUAAAUGUAGCUAUUUUGAGUCUUUGGACCCUUUUACUCCCUUUGUAUAGCAGAAUAUUUGCUUGCUAAACAACCUUUUAAGUACCUCUGUAAAUCCUUAUAUUUUUCAAUGGUGAAUUGCUGUAUACAGUUUAAGCACAAGUGAUUUUCCGCUAGUGGUAUAAAGUAGUUAAGUAAAAAUACUUGAAAGUACUACUUAAGUAGUUUAAGGGAUAUCUGUACUUUACUAUUUAUAUUUUUGCCAACUUUUACAUCGCAACAUUCCUAAAGAAAAUUCUAUACUUUUUACUCAAUAUGUUUUUCCAAACACCCAAAAGUAUUUGUUACAUUUGUAAUACAUAGCAGGACAGGAAAAUUGUCAAAUUCACACACUUAUCAAGAGAACAUCCCCGGUCAUCCCUACU